AUAGUCAUUAUUUUUCGAUAUAUAUUUAAUAUUUAUAAAUUAAUAUUUUUGUUUAAAAAUUUUGUAUGAUAAAAAUACUGUUCAUGACUUUUUAAUAUCUUACAUGGCUUUCUGUCAUACGAUUUUCUGUGAAUAUAUAUGGUUUUUUAUGAAUAUAUAUGACUUCAUAUAAAUAUAUAUAAUUUUCUGUGAACAUAUAUGACUUUCUGUGACUUUCUGUGAAUAUAUAUGAUUUUCUAUGAAUAUAUAUGACUUUCUGUCAACAUAUAUGACUUCCUGUGAAU
This 284-nucleotide long non-coding RNA is filed under the name Elaeis guineensis (African oil palm). Its description in RNAcentral is "long non-coding RNA (EGUI_LNC028918)". The record is from RNAcentral. Lineage: Eukaryota; Viridiplantae; Streptophyta; Magnoliopsida; Arecales; Arecaceae.